Molecule: ribosomal RNA, 93 nt
Filed under: Phormidium sp. OL 81
Lineage: Bacteria; Bacillati; Cyanobacteriota; Cyanophyceae; Oscillatoriales; Oscillatoriaceae
Description: partial 16S ribosomal RNA
Rfam family: Bacterial small subunit ribosomal RNA
Source: RNAcentral
UCGCGGAGGAGGGCGCCGAAGGCAGUGCUAGUGACUGGGGUGAAGUCGUAACAAGGUAGCCGUACCGGAAGGUGUGGCUGGAUCACCUCCUUU